GCGGACGUAGCUCAGUUGGUAGAGCUCCAGAUUGUGGAUCUGGCUGUCGCGGGUUCGAGUCCCGUCGUUCGCC
This 73-nucleotide transfer RNA is filed under the name bacterium. Its description in RNAcentral is "tRNA-His". It matches the Rfam family "tRNA". Rfam says of the family: Transfer RNA (tRNA) molecules are approximately 80 nucleotides in length. The record is from RNAcentral. RNAcentral also lists the same sequence under 2 other names.